CCUACGGGGUGCUGCAGUGGGGGAUAUUGCACAAUGGGGGAAACCCUGAUGCAGCGACGCCGCGUGGGUGAAGAAGCGCCUCGGCGCGUAAAGCCCUGUCAGCAGGGAAGAAAAGGACGGUACCUGAAGAAGAAGCCCCGGCUAACGACGUGCCAGCCGCCGCGGUAAUCCGUAGGGGGCAAGCGUUAUCCGGAUUGACUGGGUGUAAAGGGGGCGCAGACGGCGAGGCAAGCCAGGAGUGAAAGCCCGGGGCCCAACCCCGGGACUGCUCGUGGAACUGCGUGGCGAGCGUGCAGGAGGGGCAGGCGGACUUCCUGUUGUCGCGGUGACCUGCGUCGAUAUCAGGUGGAACCCCGGUGGCGAUGGCGGCCUGCUUGACUGCACCUGCCGUUGAGGCCCG
Molecule: ribosomal RNA, 400 nt
Filed under: uncultured bacterium
Lineage: Bacteria
Description: partial 16S ribosomal RNA
Rfam family: Bacterial small subunit ribosomal RNA
Source: RNAcentral